This 461-nucleotide ribosomal RNA is filed under the name uncultured bacterium. RNAcentral's name for it is "partial 16S ribosomal RNA". It matches the Rfam family "Bacterial small subunit ribosomal RNA", at positions 339 to 795 of the family's 1533-position model. The record is from RNAcentral.
CUACGGGGUGCUGCAGUCGAGAAUCUUCCGCAAUGGACGAAAGUCUGACGGAGCGACGCCGCGUGCGGGAUGAAGGCCUUCGGGUUGUAAACCGCUGUCAGUGGGGAGGAAAUGCAUCAGGGUUCUCCCUGGUGUUUGACCGAUCCGCAGAGGAAGCGCAGGCUAAGUUCGUGCCAGCAGCCGCGGUAACACGAACUGCGCGAACGUUAUUCGGAAUCACUGGGCUUAAGGAGUUCGUAGGCGGCCUUUCAAGUCGGGUGUGAAAUCCCUCGGCUCAACCGGGGAAUUGCGCCUGAUACUGUUGGGCUUGAGGGGGAUAGGGGUGAGCGGAACUGAUGGUGGAGCGGUGAAAUGCGUUGAUAUCAUCAGGAACACCGGUGGCGAAGGCGGCUCACUGGAUCUCUUCUGACGCUGAGGAACGAAAGCUAGGGGAGCGAACGGGAUUAGAUACCCCCGUAGUC